Molecule: ribosomal RNA, 439 nt
Filed under: uncultured bacterium
Lineage: Bacteria
Description: bacterial SSU rRNA
Rfam family: Bacterial small subunit ribosomal RNA
Source: RNAcentral
GAUGAACGCUGGCGGCGCGCCUAACACAUGCAAGUCGAACGGCACCCCACCUCGGUGGGAAGCGAGUGGCGAACGGCUGAGUAACACGUGGAGAACCCGCCCCCUCCUCCGGGAUAGCCUCGGGAAACCGUGGGUAAUACCGGAUGACGCCCGGACGACGCAUGUCGCCCGGGCCAAAGCCCAGACGGGAGGGGAUGGCUCCGCGGCCCAUCAGGUAGACGGCGGGGUGAAGGCCCACCGUGCCGACGACGGGUAGCCGGGUUGAGAGACCGACCGGCCAGAUUGGGACUGAGACACGGCCCAGACUCCUACGGGAGGCAGCAGUGGGGAAUCUUGCGCAAUGGGGGGAACCCUGACGCAGCGACGCCGCGUGCGGGACGAAGGCCCUAGGGUCGUGAACCGCUUUCAGCAGGGAUGAGACAAGACGGUACUGCAGAAG